GGAGUUGGUGCCUAGUCGGACCUCGAGUUCGUAAGCAGUGGGAGCGCAGUGGUUUGGAGGAGUCCGAGGUUGCUAUGGAGUCCCCGAAACUUUUGAAAACUGUCGGGGUUCCAGGCGAAGAGCAAGAGCGAAUGGAGGAUUUCUGGAGACGUGUGCUAAGCUUAAGGUGACAAGGGAAAGAGGACGUGGGGCUUUCAAUGGAGCAGGAAGCAGAAUCUCUUCUCCAGAUCCUGAAUCUGGGAUGGCCCCAUGACUUACUUUGAUCAAUAAUAUGUGGCAGAAGUGAUGCAUGUAACUUCUGAGGUCCAGGAGAAUACCAGAGAAUACAGAAUAUCACAUCAUGUGGCUUCCAUAUUUAAUCUUUUGGAACAGUCUUCUGAGACUUCCUAGGAUGAAAGAAAAUGUGAAGGAAAAGGCUGAACCAUCAGCCAGAACCAACUGACACACUUGAGAGUGAAGCCAGCGUGGGACUCCUAGCUCAACUCUGCGAGUGAACCUGGACAAAAUCGGACAUUUCACAAAAAUUUGAGAAAUAAAAAUUGUUAUUGUUUUAAUCCUCUAAA
Molecule: long non-coding RNA, 563 nt
Organism: Sus scrofa (pig)
Lineage: Eukaryota; Metazoa; Chordata; Mammalia; Artiodactyla; Suidae
Source: RefSeq, a predicted model, not a curated record